This 253-nucleotide ribosomal RNA is filed under the name uncultured bacterium. RNAcentral's name for it is "partial 16S ribosomal RNA". It matches the Rfam family "Bacterial small subunit ribosomal RNA", at positions 524 to 776 of the family's 1533-position model. The record is from RNAcentral.
UACGGGGGGGGCAAGCGUUGUUCGGAAUUACGGGGCGUAAAGGGCUCGUAGGCGGCCAACUAAGCCAGACGUGAAAUCCCUCGGCUUAACCGGGGAACUGCGUCUGAUACUGGAUGGCUUGAGUUUGGGAGAGGGAUGCGGAAUUCCAGGUGUAGCGGUGAAAUGCGUAGAUAUCUGGAGGAACACCGGUGGCGAAAGCGGCAUCCUGGACCAACACUGACGCUGAGGAGCGAAAGCGUGGGUAGCAAACAGG